GAAAGAAGAGUGACUUAAGGAGGCUUUCAUGCAUCGAGAAUUACGUGUGCACAUGCAUAUACAUACAUGGAUCGGACUGCACGUCGCAGUAGCAUAUUGCAUGGAUCAGACUUCACAUCGCAGUGGCAUAUUGCAUGGAUCGGACUGCACGCCGUAGUAACAUAUUGCAUGGAUCGGACUGCACGCUGCAGUAGCAUAUUGCAUGGAUCGGAAUGCACGCCGUAGUAGUAUAUUAUAUGGAUCGAACUGCAUGUCGCAGUAUUAUAACGCUUGGGCUGUAUGUCCCUCGGAGUCUAUACACACCCCUAGUGAGCACAGGGUACCCAUGGAUCGGGAUACGCGUCGUAGCGGUCAUGUGGCAAUGCACUGCAUUCACGCAUUCACUCCUGUUUGUACUACGUGGCAUGACAUUUAGC
This 416-nucleotide long non-coding RNA is filed under the name Nicotiana benthamiana. RNAcentral describes it as "long non-coding RNA (NBEN_LNC040379)". The record is from RNAcentral. Lineage: Eukaryota; Viridiplantae; Streptophyta; Magnoliopsida; Solanales; Solanaceae.